CAAACUUUCUCCAGCCAUUCCUCUCCAGGACUCGUAGGAGUCAACAUCCAUCCGUAUCAGCCUGACCCUCACUUCACUUUGGGAUGGAAUAAAGAUCGAAUCUAACGACUGUCUUCUCUAAUAAUUUACAGCUCGACAAACCCUAACCAGACAACAAAACAAACAACAAAACUUGUUGAAACAAAGGCCAACAUCACGGUGAUCGCUGACAUGAUCGUUUCUACAGGAAACAUUGUAAUGUGUAUGGAAUUGUGUGAAAACAGUGCUGCGUUGUGUUCGAAUCCUGGUCACUGGCACCCAAUCAGCUCAUGUAACAAAACACGAGUGACAAGGGUUGAUGGAGUAAAACAUGACAACCAAAUGUCUAAGAUGGGGGAUCUGUGGUACAGGAAAGAUCUCCAACGACUUCUGCUCUGCCAUGACAACACUACCUGAUGGAGAUCAU
Mizuhopecten yessoensis (Yesso scallop) is the source of this 445-nucleotide long non-coding RNA. RefSeq lists it as uncharacterized. Lineage: Eukaryota; Metazoa; Mollusca; Bivalvia; Pectinida; Pectinidae. The record is from RefSeq and is a predicted model, not a curated record. The transcript is spliced from 4 exons.